This 704-nucleotide long non-coding RNA is filed under the name Androctonus crassicauda. Lineage: Eukaryota; Metazoa; Arthropoda; Arachnida; Scorpiones; Buthidae. The record is from RNAcentral.
UAAUAAUAAUCGAAAUGAACUUUUGGUAUCGUUCAUUGGUAAAUCUAAUUUGGUUGCGCUCUACUUAUCAAGAGUAAUGUUUAACCUUGUUUAUAAAAAUAAUGCAUUAAAAAAACCUUAUUACUCUUACAAAUCUUUGAUAAAAAUAGCGUUUAUUCGUCAAUGUAGUCGUGAAAUUCCAUCGCUAUCUUUUAACUUAAAUGAAUCUUUGUAUAUUCCAACUAGAAUUUUAAAAUCUUUCAGUUUUUUGAGAGUUAAUAUCGUAAGAUAUAAAAGAAAUGUCCUGUUAUAAAAGAACUCGCGUAUUUUGCGGAACUGUCCCACUAAUCUAACAGACCGAAGUUAGGAUGCACAUCUCGCUGAUGAUGAUUUGUCUUAAAUUAACCGAAACGACGAAAGCACCCUUGGCGAUGAAUUAAUUGAGCUGAAGCAACUGAUAAAAUGUCGAAAUAAAGAACAACUGCUUUUUUUUCGAAUGGUAGGAAAUAAAAUUUAUUGAUUGAAAAUUUUAUCAAUUUUUGAUUAUUUUGAUAAAUACAUUACUAUUUUCUUGGGGAAAAUUGUUUAAUACGAACGAUUAAAGUAAUUUUGAAAACAGAAAAUAUUUAUUAUGCUGGAUAUAAUAGAAAUUUUUGUUUUCGAAUAUUCUAUAUACACCUACAUAAUUCUAAAAAAAAAUCUUAAAAAUUUUGUGCUCUCGACUU